CCUACGGGUGGCAGCAGUGAGGAAUAUUGGUCAAUGGGCGCGAGUCUGAACCAGCCAAGUAGCGUGAAGGAUGACUGCCCUACGGGUUGUAAACUUCUUUUAUAAAGGAAUAAAGUGAGGCACGUGUGCCUUUUUGUAUGUACUUUAUGAAUAAGGAUCGGCUAACUCCGUGCCAGCAGCCGCGGUAAUACGGAGGAUGCGAGCGUUAUCCGGAUUUAUUGGGUUUAAAGGGUGCGUAGGCGGAUUGUUAAGUAAGCGGUAAAAGCCCGGGGCUAAACCCCGGCAAGCCGUUGAAACUGGCUGUCUUGAGAGGAGGAGAGGUAUGCGGAAUGCGCGGUGUAGCGGUGAAAUGCUUAGAUAUUGCGCAGAACUCCGAUUGCGAAGGCAGCUUACCGGCGGCGAUCUGACGCUGAGGCACGAAAGCGUGGGUAUCAAACAGGAUUAGAUACCCCGGUAGUC
Molecule: ribosomal RNA, 459 nt
Filed under: uncultured bacterium
Lineage: Bacteria
Description: partial 16S ribosomal RNA
Rfam family: Bacterial small subunit ribosomal RNA
Source: RNAcentral